AUGAGAUCGGGGAGAUUGACAGCCCUGUCCGCCAAACGACAAGCGGGCGGGCCCCUCGGCGCCGCGGGGGCAGCUGGGAGUUGUAGUUCUCGGGACGUGGCCGUCGAUCGAAAGAGGUCCCGGGCCUUCCUUACCCUGCCGUUGCAAGGCAAGCGGGCUCCCUUCUUCCUCCCUCUCCCCCGCCCUCCUGGCGCUCAAACAGUAGCAGGUUGCAAGAGCCGCAGGAGGCAAGGAGGAAGCGGUGGGGAGUUGCCCAGAGAGAGCUUGCCUCCCGGGCGUUGUCGUGCGUGGCCAUUGGCAGCAAAUAGCCGGAGGAGGCAGACGUACAAGGCGGCUGCCAAGAAGUGGAGGCCGAGACCCCAUCAGGACCCCCAUUUCGCACUCCGCAUUUUGCCGGCCGCCGCUGGCCUCGCAGCCUGUGUCCGGCCGCACUGGAGGAGGUUGAGGUGUGAAACGUUUCACCUGACAACUUGCUCCCGAUGGCUCAACCCAGAUGCAGCUAUGGGGCGGGUGAGGGGGUCGUUCUGCGCUAGCCGGGCACCGGGUCCUCUGCUCAACUGCCUGUCUUGGAGUCCAGAGAACAGUUGGAAACCCACCUCAGCAGGGUGUGUGUGCAUAGGUAAGGAUGAGGACUGCUGUUCCACUCUCAUUUAUUCAGAUACUUUCCAAACACCAGUGUAUUCUCCUCUCCAGCAGCAUAGCCUAAUGGAUAGAGCAAGGGCCUGGGAAUCAGAAGGCCCCGGGUUCUAAUAUUGACUCUGCCUCUUGUCUGCUUUGUGACUUUCGGCAACUCACCUCAUUUCUCUGUGCCUCAGUCGCCUCAUCCAUAAAAAUGGGAAUUAAGACCGUGAGCCCCAUGUGGGACGGGGCUCUGCCAACCUGAUUAGCUUGUAUC
RNAcentral lists this long non-coding RNA (895 nucleotides) under Ornithorhynchus anatinus (platypus). RNAcentral describes it as "lncRNA (ENSOANG00000049142.1)". The record is from RNAcentral. Lineage: Eukaryota; Metazoa; Chordata; Mammalia; Monotremata; Ornithorhynchidae.